UUUCCGUAGGUGAACCUGCGGAAGGAUCAUUCAUAAUAAAGUGUUUUAUGGCACUUUUUAAAAAUCCAUAUCCACCUUGUGUGCAAUGUUAGAUCUCGUCAAUCUUGGCGAAAUUUUUAUACAUCAACUCAUUCUUUAACUAAUUUGUCUGAAAAAUAUUAUGAAUACUUAAUUCAAAAUACAACUUUCAACAACGGAUCUCUUGGCUCUC
RNAcentral lists this unclassified non-coding RNA (211 nucleotides) under plant metagenome. Its description in RNAcentral is "partial contains small subunit ribosomal RNA, internal transcribed spacer 1, and 5.8S ribosomal RNA". The record is from RNAcentral.